ACGGUUGGAUUGACCAUCUUCUGC
RNAcentral lists this non-coding RNA (24 nucleotides) under Arabidopsis thaliana (thale cress). The record is from RNAcentral. Lineage: Eukaryota; Viridiplantae; Streptophyta; Magnoliopsida; Brassicales; Brassicaceae.